AGAGUUUGAUCAUGGCUCAGAUUGAACGCUGGCGGUAGGCUUAACACAUGCAAGUCGUGCGAGAAAGUAUCUUCGGAUAUGAGUAGAGCGGCGGACGGGUGAGUAACGCGUAGGAAUCUACCUAGUAGAAGGGGAUAGCCCGAGGAAACUCGGAUUAAUACCGUAUACCUCCUUCGGGAGAAAGAAGGCCUCUCUUUGAAGCUUUCGCUACUAGAUGAGCCUGCGUAAGAUUAGCUUGUUGGUGAGGUAAAGGCUCACCAAGGCUACGAUCUUUAGCGGGUCUGAGAGGACGAUCCGCCACAUUGGGACUGAGACACGGCCCAGACUCCUACGGGAGGCAGCAGUGGGGAAUAUUGGACAAUGGGCGAAAGCCUGAUCCAGCCAUACCGCGUGUGUGAAGAAGGCCCUAGGGUUGUAAAGCACUUUAAGUUGGGAAGAAAAGUUAUUGGUUAAUACCCAAUGACCGUGACAUUACCAUCAGAAUAAGGACCGGCUAAUUCCGUGCCAGCAGCCGCGGUAAUACGGAAGGUCCAAGCGUUAAUCGGAAUUACUGGGCGUAAAGCGCGCGUAGGUGGUUUAUUAAGUUGGGUGUGAAAUCCCCGGGCUCAACCUGGGAACUGCAUCCAAAACUGAUUCACUAGAGUACGAUAGAGGGAGGUAGAAUUCACAGUGUAGCGGUGGAAUGCGUAGAUAUUGUGAAGAAUACCAAUGGCGAAGGCAGCCUCCUGGAUCUGUACUGACACUGAGGUGCGAAAGCGUGGGUAGCGAACAGGAUUAGAUACCCUGGUAGUCCACGCCGUAAACGAUGUCAACUAUCUGUUGGAAAGCAUUGCUUUUCAGUGGAGCAGCUAACGUAAUAAGUUGACCGCCUGGGGAGUACGGCCGCAAGGCUAAAACUCAAAUGAAUUGACGGGGACCCGCACAAGCGGUGGAGCAUGUGGUUUAAUUCGAUGCAACGCGAAAAACCUUACCUAUGCUUGACAUACUUGGAAUACUUUGUAAUGAAGUAGUGCCUUCGGGAGCCAAGAUACAGGUGCU
Molecule: ribosomal RNA, 1038 nt
Filed under: marine metagenome
Description: bacterial SSU rRNA
Rfam family: Bacterial small subunit ribosomal RNA
Source: RNAcentral